UGAAAGGCGAAACGUAAUGUGAAUCGCAACUAACAGUGAAUCAUCGAAUCUUUGAACGCAUGCCGCACUCCCUAGUAUUAUGUUUCUGCAUCAUACUAGAGAGUAUCUAUGUAAUGAGUGUCAGCCAAAUUUUCUUUUGGUUUACAAAGGAAGUAAAAAGGUAGUUUUUUAUUUUAAUUUGUAAAUACACACAUGUCUUUUUGUGACAUAUCACUUGAAACACACAAAGCAUUGUCGUCUGGCCUCAUAUAUGGAAGAUUACCCGCUGGAUUUAA
This 275-nucleotide unclassified non-coding RNA is filed under the name uncultured fungus. Its description in RNAcentral is "sequence contains ITS1". The stretch from base 1 to 123 matches the Rfam family "5.8S ribosomal RNA", at positions 49 to 154 of the family's 154-position model. Lineage: Eukaryota; Fungi. The record is from RNAcentral.